AGCUAUGAUGUUGUAAUUUGCGUCUGACUGGUAGUCAUGACGACAGUUGCCUGCUGUCAGUAUGUCAGACUACUGAACUGUAGACUAAGUAAUCAUCUGAUUGCU
Saccostrea echinata is the source of this 105-nucleotide small nucleolar RNA. RefSeq annotates it as small nucleolar RNA SNORD16. The record is from RefSeq and is a predicted model, not a curated record. NCBI's taxonomy places the organism in Eukaryota, Metazoa, Mollusca, Bivalvia, Ostreida, Ostreidae. The transcript has a single exon.